RNAcentral lists this transfer RNA (59 nucleotides) under Brugia malayi. Its description in RNAcentral is "tRNA-Asn". The record is from RNAcentral. Lineage: Eukaryota; Metazoa; Nematoda; Chromadorea; Rhabditida; Onchocercidae.
GAAUUUUAAGUAUAAUUUUUUUUGUAUAACUAAUUGUUGAUUAGUAGGUUAAAGAUUCU